UAAACGGACUUUCCUGUGGUGGU
RNAcentral lists this non-coding RNA (23 nucleotides) under Cricetulus griseus (Chinese hamster). Lineage: Eukaryota; Metazoa; Chordata; Mammalia; Rodentia; Cricetidae. The record is from RNAcentral.